Tribolium castaneum (red flour beetle) is the source of this 3554-nucleotide RNA transcript. RefSeq lists it as uncharacterized. The record is from RefSeq and is a predicted model, not a curated record. The transcript has 2 exons. NCBI's taxonomy places the organism in Eukaryota, Metazoa, Arthropoda, Insecta, Coleoptera, Tenebrionidae.
UACGAAUAUAAGCUUUAACCCAUUUUCUCUAAGGUAACAUUUACCUCAUAGUCUUUUACCGGUAUCUAAUAAGAAACUGAUCUGGAGUUUAAAUCACACAAUUCUAUUGGUUCCGCUGGUUCUCCUUUAAAAAUAUGAAGUAGACAUUUUGUUUUACAACCUCUAUGCUAAAAAAGCUGGCCACCAUUGCAAGUAUGUACCUACUAAUUGAAAAUGAAAUAUGAAGUAAGUAUUUAAAAAAUCAAAUUUUUUUAUUUUGGAAAUGACAAAUAUGAGAAAUUAGCGACGAUCGGAUCAGAUUCGAAUUUUUGAAUUUUUAUGUCAAAUAUUUUCAAACAAUUUUUGGAACUUAAUUUUUGAAAAUCGAAAAUUUUACCAGAUUGUUACAUUGUUACAUUGAGAAUCUACUUUAAUUUGGUGAGUACAGUUGCCUUGCCGUAGCAUCGGACGAUUUAAAAAAGAUGCUCCAAAUUGUAGCUAUUUGUACAUUUUUGCUGCAGUAACUGCAUGUUUUAAUGUCUAGCAAAACCAAGGCGAAAUUAAUUCGUGCUUCACAGCUAUGAAGUAAUUUUUGUCAAGGAGUCUUUAUUGCCCCGUUUAAUAAAGUUCUAUAACCUUAUAAUUUGCACUGUUAAAUGACAGUGAUAUUUUAAAAAACGACUGCAUGCCAAAUUUUAUAAAAAUUGGAUAAAUAUUUUUAAAAAUAAAAAAUAUAAUCUUCUGAGUUUAACAAUUUCAAUUUAUUUUUAAUCUCUGAUCCAGGUAAAGUUGUCCAGAUUUUAACUUUUUCAUUUGACCCAAGUAUAGGCAAGUCAUUUUUGGAGUCAUAAAUGAAAAGACAUUUUUGUUUAAUAGUAGUCAAUACUAAAAAUAACGAAUGUCUCACUGAAACCAAUAACCAAUAUUGCUUCAGUUUCUUAAAAAAAUCUAACGACUUGUCUUAAGUUUUUUUCAUAAAUGUCCUGUUGAAAAAUAUAAAUUUUAAUGCAAAUAUGCUUUGUAUAAUUAUUUUCUAAUGGCCUCUGUAAGCAAAAUCAUAAAUAAUAUUGACGUUUUUUAUUUUUUUCUUGUUAGUAUAAAAAUAUUUGUCUCAACCCAAUAAAUACAAUGCCAUUGCUGACACAUAUAUAUAUAUAUUUCUGCGACCUAAUGACCUGAACAAACUUCUUAAAAAAGGAAAAGUUACCGAUAUUUGGUGGUAAGUGCAAAUUACAUUCUUCUUCAUUUUUGAAUAAGUAGCCUGUUAUUAGGUCCUAAUUAGAUAACUAGAAUAAUCUAAACUGAUAGUGAUAACGGUGGCAAAUAAAAAAAGUUAUCUAAUCGAUAGACUGAUAGAAUGCUAUAAUUUUUGUUAUGUUUUAAUGUUUUUAAUGUUUUUAAUCAAUCGUAUGCCGUAUAAAAAAGGUUUUAGCAAAAAUAAAGAACAGAAAUAAUAAAAUUUCUGAGAUUUCUGAGUUAAAAUUAUUAUGUGUCACUAUUAUUUUGCACUAUCAGUAAAAGUGGAUUUAGAUUUAAUUACUGGUGACAUCAAUAACCGACUGACCAGGAACUAAUAACAAGGUUUAAAAAAAAAAACAGUGAGACAUGGCAGAUGACAUUGAAAUCAACAAACUCAAACUCAAGAAGUUGCUGGAUGCCGAAAAUGAAGAAGAAUUUAUUAAAUGUAUUAAAGAUGAUCCUUCCUUAAUCAGUUGUGAAAUACCAGGUCCACCAACAAGCGACCUAACGUUGCUACAGUAUUGUUGUAGUAAGAAUUUAAUAGAAGCUGCUAGAUUUCUCGUAAAACAAGGAGCGGAUUUGACAAAAAAUGCUGAGUAUACCAUGGCACCUUUACAAAUAGCAUGUUUUCAUGGAUGGCAUAAAUUGCUGAAAGCAUUAUUACAAGCAGAAAACGAGUCUGGCGAAGACUUUGAACUUAUGGAAGGACCUUUUGACGAGAAAAUGAAAAAAGCAGUGUGUAAAGCUAUUAUUAAUUUUAUUACAAAUUACAAGAAGAACGACGAUUAUCAAAGUUGUCUUAAAAUAUUAAAAAAAAUAGUUAAAGAGAAAAAAAUCGAUAUCGAAAAUUACAUAGAUGAUCACGGCCGCAAAAUUUCUUUCUACACCAUGACUCUUGGUUUGUAUGAUCUAUUAUUUGAACUGUCCCUAAAGAUACCAUUUUAUCCAAUUGUUCCAAGUGAAGUGGAAAAAUUUUUUGACUUAUGCAUUGACAUAGAUAAUAGCUCAUCUUAUGAACCGAAUAUUACUUUCAAAUAUGACAAUUUAUGUACUGAAGAAAACUGUACAUCAAUUAGCGAAAUGGACUAUUUCCGAAUUCUUAUUUAUGACGACAAAUAUAAAAAUUUGUUGUUGCAUCCAUUGGUAAUGUGUUUCUUACUUCUUAAGUGGCUUAAAAUUAAAUAUCGUUUUUAUAUUCACUUUGCCAUAUACAUUAUUCAGAUCGCAGUGUUUGUUACCCUCACAUUCAUAAAUCCAACUUGUAACUAUUUAACCAAUUUGUUUAAAGUUGCUGCGAUAAUGAUUAGUAGUGUUGAUGUAACAUAUGGUGUAAUAAUGUGUUGGAAAUUUUGUAAAACCCAGAAGGAAUCUAAAAACUAUUGGGUGAUAAUAAAAAUGCAUUUAUAUCACAUAUUGCUUCCUCUCGCAGUCAUCAUCUCUGUAAUAAUUUCCCUUAUAUACGAAAACAGCACUACAAAAAAACUUCUGUUUAUUCCACUUUUAAUUGCAGCUUUCAAGUUUAUCUUAUUAUCUCGGGUAAUCACAAUUUAUGGUGAAUUAUUUUUUGUUGUUUUGCGUAAUUGUGUUAAAGUCUUAGUCCUGAUGGUUCCUUUAUUUGCUAUAGUUUCCGGCAUUUAUUAUUCAACAUUUAACAGUUCACCUGAAAACAAUAGUACGAACGAUUUUGUGACGACACUGGUGACGGUAUUUUACAAUAUGUUUGUUUUGCUUGUUGGAGAGUUGCAAUUGGAACCGUCACAAGACGAACCACUUAAUAGAACCAUUUACAUGGUUUUCAUUUUACUCUUCACCAUAGUUUGUGCAAACUUGUUAAAUGCUUUAGUUAUACACGACACAAAUCUUUUAAAAAGGGAUGCUUUAAAUGUCAAUCAAAGAGAAAUAGCUCGGUACAUCCAUUUAUAUGAAAUAGUCUUCAAGGGUUUUGAUGAAACAAAUUUUAAACAAAUAAAAGGUCGUUUAAAUAAAACUAUACAAAAUGGAAAACCUUCACAAUAUAUUAAACUAAACCAAAACAUAAUUGAAAGUUUAAACACUUUAACAAUAAAAACCAAAAACAUUCCUACUUUUUACUGCGAUAUUGUUAUACAGAAUGUCGAGACUUUUACACACAAAUGCAAAAAAUGCACUAUAUAGAGUAUUACAACCAAGAGAUUUAAUGCAGACUGUAAUGAAAAAAUUCGGAUCAAAAUCGUUUUGCUUUGUCGAAUAGGAUGUGAAUCAAAUGUACUUGCAAUCACAGCUGUAUCAAGUGUUUAAUAUGUAAUAUAAUGUAGGAUUUAUUGAAUUUAUUUGACAAUAAAAAAUUUAAAGUUCAA